ACCUGCUUGGCAAACUUAACACCAACAACAUAUAGACGAAUUGAUGGUGAUAGAGCGAUAUUGAUAUACGAGAGCAACAUUUGGUCGCAAGGUGCAUAAUCAUGGUGAGCUAGAGAGGGCAACGGGUUGGGAUGUCCAUCGGUAAAAUAAAUGAGUAUAUGGUCUCUAAGGAUUAAUUGAUUCGAAAAGAGAUAUCCAAAGAAGAUGGUUGGUGCAGUCUAACUUAAUAGGGAUAGCAUCAUAGAUGUUGAAGAUGAUAAAGGAGAUAAAGAAGGUGGGG
Molecule: long non-coding RNA, 280 nt
Filed under: Elaeis guineensis (African oil palm)
Lineage: Eukaryota; Viridiplantae; Streptophyta; Magnoliopsida; Arecales; Arecaceae
Description: long non-coding RNA (EGUI_LNC081726)
Source: RNAcentral